UAUAAAAUGAUGAUGAAUGUCGACUGAUUGUGAAAUAUUUCUCUAUUCUUGAGAUAUAUUUUACAUUGUCCAUUUGAUGUUACUGAGGCAUUUGUCUGAUUAUGAA
This is a non-coding RNA of Phlebotomus papatasi, 106 nucleotides long. Lineage: Eukaryota; Metazoa; Arthropoda; Insecta; Diptera; Psychodidae. The record is from Rfam.